GAUGAACGCUGGCGGCGUGCCUAAUACAUGCAAGUCGAGCGAACGGACGAGAAGCUUGCUCCUCUGAUGUUAGCGGCGGACGGGUGAGUAACACGUGGAUAACCUACCUAUAAGACUGGGAUAACUUCGGGAAACCGGAGCUAAUACCGGAUAAUAUUUUGAACCGCAUGGUUCAAAAGUUAAAGACGGUCUUGCUGUCACUUAUAGAUGGAUCCGCGCUGCAUUAGCUAGUUGGUAAGGUAACGGCUUACCAAGGCAACGAUGCAUAGCCGACCUGAGAGGGUGAUCGGCCACACUGGAACUGAGACACGGUCCAGACUCCUACGGGAGGCAGCAGUAGGGAAUCUUCCGCAAUGGGCGAAAGCCUGACGGAGCAACGCCGCGUGAGUGAUGAAGGUCUUCGGAUCGUAAAACUCUGUUAUUAGGGAAGAACAUAUGUGUAAGUAACUGUGCACAUCUUGACGGUACCUAAUCAGAAAGCCACGGCUAACUACGUG
Molecule: ribosomal RNA, 497 nt
Filed under: uncultured bacterium
Lineage: Bacteria
Description: partial 16S ribosomal RNA
Rfam family: Bacterial small subunit ribosomal RNA
Source: RNAcentral